UCAGGUGAAGGAGGCGCGGCAGCUGCGGGUCUCAGCUCAAGACCGCGUCGGGGAGAAGCUGGAAAGCGGAACCAAACCUGGACAGGUUUUACCUGGAAAACCAAAGUGGUUUGGAUGGGGAAGAAUGUUUCCUGAACCUGGAGGCUCCUAUAUCAAGAGUAUGUGGCUAUGACACACCAUUUCCUCACAUUUUCGAGCCAUUCUACAUCCCAGACAAAUGGAAGUGCUACGAUGCCCUUCGAAAAAUGAUCAACUACUGACUGUGUUGAGAAACUGGAAGAUUGUGACUAGAUAUGGAAAUAUUUUUCUGAAAAUUCUUUUUAUUUCCUCAGACUUGUCUCUUCUUGAAAAUAGAGUUUUUAUGAACUGAACCACCUUGGAUAUUGGCUGAAAAUUUUUAAUUAGUUAUUGUAUUGUAUUUACACAUAUGAAUUGAUGAUUUCCGUGGAGAGCGUCUCAGAUUAACUUUUUAAAAUGCUUCACUUGGUAGUGUUAUAAAUUCCAUUUAAUUACAUCUGUAAAUAUUGGGCGUGGGGUAGUAUUCAAUAAAGCACAAUCAGACUGUCCU
This 568-nucleotide long non-coding RNA is filed under the name Ursus americanus (American black bear). RNAcentral describes it as "lncRNA (ENSUAMG00000018376.1)". The record is from RNAcentral. Lineage: Eukaryota; Metazoa; Chordata; Mammalia; Carnivora; Ursidae.